Molecule: ribosomal RNA, 465 nt
Filed under: uncultured bacterium
Lineage: Bacteria
Description: bacterial SSU rRNA
Rfam family: Bacterial small subunit ribosomal RNA
Source: RNAcentral
GACGAACGCUGGCGGCGCGCCUAACACAUGCAAGUCGAACGAGCGAGAGAGAGCUUGCUUUCUCGAGCGAGUGGCGAACGGGUGAGUAACGCGUGAGGAACCUGCCUCAAAGAGGGGGACAACAGUUGGAAACGACUGCUAAUACCGCAUAAGCCCACGGCUCGGCAUCGAGCAGAGGGAAAAGGAGCAAUCCGCUUUGAGAUGGCCUCGCGUCCGAUUAGCUAGUUGGUGAGGUAACGGCCCACCAAGGCGACGAUCGGUAGCCGGACUGAGAGGUUGAACGGCCACAUUGGGACUGAGACACGGUCCAGACUCCUACGGGAGGCAGCAGUGAGGAAUAUUGGGCAAUGGAGGCAACUCUGACCCAGCCAUGCCGCGUGAGUGAGAAGGUUUUCGAAUUGUAAAGCUCUUUCGGGUGUGAAGAUGAUGACGGUAACACCAGAAGAAGCCCCGGCAAACUUCGUG